Molecule: ribosomal RNA, 363 nt
Filed under: Alexandrium catenella
Lineage: Eukaryota; Dinophyceae; Gonyaulacales; Pyrocystaceae
Description: partial large subunit ribosomal RNA
Rfam family: Eukaryotic large subunit ribosomal RNA
Source: RNAcentral
CAAUAGGUGAGAAUCCUGUUUGUCAUGUGCAGCCCUUUGUGCACGGUGUAUAGCUGAGUUCCUUGGCAUUGGAAUGCAAAGUGGGUGGUAAGUUUCAUGUAAAGGUAAACAUCAAUUGACUGAUAGCACACAAGUACCAUGAGGGAAAUAUGAAAAGGACUUUGAAAAAGAAUUAAUGAUUUGUAUUUGCUGAACACAAAGUAAACAGACUUGAUUUGCUUGGUGGGAGUGUUGCACUUGCUUGACAAGAGCUUUGGGCUGUGGGUGUAAUGAUUCUUUCUUUGCAUGCCAGUUUCUAUUUGUACAUCUGAUUACCUUUGCACAUGAAUGAUAAGUCUCCUGUGGGGGGUGGAUUGCAUGUGC